CGAUAAUUCAACAUUAUGGCAUAUCCUAUGUACGAAGUGGAUUGGAGUGUCCUGCCACCUGACCAAAAUAGAAGGUUCAACCCGGCAUUUAACAUUGCAACCAUAAAACAAGUAGUAAAUGAAGCCAUAGAGAGAGUCGCGCCGGUUUCAGUGCGGAUGCAGACGCCCACGCGGCUCAGAGAUCUGAUCCGCCAGAUUCGCGCGGCACGAACCGCCGCCGAAGAACGGAGCGUUGUUAACAAGGAGUGCGCUUAUAUAAGAUCCACGUUCAGGGAGGAGGACAGCGUUUGGAGAUGUCGCAACAUAGCGAAACUGCUGUACAUCCACAUGCUGGGCUACCCGGCGCACUUUGGCCAGCUGGAGUGCCUCAAGCUGAUCGCCAGCCCGCGGUUCACGGACAAGCGGGUGGGGUACCUUGGGGCUAUGUUGCUACUGGACGAGAGGCAGGACGUACAUCUGCUGAUCACGAAUUGUUUGAAGAAUGACCUGAACAGCAACACGCAGUUCGUAGUCGGUCUCGCGCUAUGCACGCUCGGCGCGAUCGCAUCCCCAGAAAUGGCCCGAGACCUUGCGUCUGAAGUGGAGCGUCUCAUAAAGUCGCCAAACGCGUACAUCAAGAAGAAGGCGGCGUUGUGCGCGUUCAGGAUCAUAAGGCGAGUGCCGGAUCUGAUGGAAAUGUUCCUGCCGGCAACUAGGAGCCUCUUGACUGAGAAGAACCAUGGUGUGCUUAUCACCGGCGUGACCCUCAUCACGGAAAUGUGCGAGAACAGUCCGGACACGCUUAACCAUUUCAAAAAGGAGAGCGGGCAACGCGAGAUUGUGCCGAAUUUGGUGAGAAUAUUGAAGAACUUAAUCCUCGCUGGUUAUUCGCCGGAGCACGAUGUCAGUGGUGUCUCCGAUCCAUUCCUACAGGUGAAAAUCCUUCGUCUCCUCCGGAUACUGGGCAAGAACGACGCGGAAGCGUCCGAAGCGAUGAACGACAUCCUCGCCCAGGUCGCGACCAACACGGAGACGAGCAAGAAUGUCGGCAACACGAUAUUAUACGAAACUGUGCUUUCUAUCAUGGACAUUAAGUCGGAGAGUAGCUUGCGCGUGCUCGCCAUCAAUAUACUGGGACGGUUCUUGCUGAAUAAUGAUAAGAAUAUAAGAUAUGUGGCGUUGAACACGCUGCUGAGGACGGUACACGUGGACACGUCUGCGGUGCAGAGACAUAGGACGACUAUAUUGGAGUGUUUAAAGGAUCCCGACGUGUCCAUCCGGCGGCGGGCUAUGGAGCUGUCGUUCGCGCUGAUCAACGGGCAGAAUAUACGCGCCAUGAUGAAGGAGCUGCUGGUGUUCCUGGAGCGGUCCGACGCAGAGUUCAAGGCGCACUGCUCCAGCGCGAUGGUGCUGGCGGCCGAGCGGCAUGCGCCGAGCAGCAAGUGGCACCUGGACACGCUGUUCCAGGUGCUGCUGAAGGCGGGCAACUACCUCCGCGACGACACCGUGUCGAACACCAUCCAGAUAGUGUCCGCGGCGCCGGGCGAGCGGCAGGCGUACGCGGCCAUGCGGCUCUGGAUCUCGCUCGAGCGCGCCGCCGUCUGCGGCGACGCCACCGAGAAGCAGCCGCUCGUGCAGGUUGCGGCUUGGACGAUAGGAGAGUACGGAGACAUGCUGGUCUCGGAAGCCAGUAACGCCAUAUCUAUGGUAGACGACGACGGAGUCGACGAGUUCAGCCGGCCGUCCGAGGAGUACGUGAUCGACGUGUACCAGAAGCUGUUGUGGUCGACGCAGCUGUCGAUUACCACCAAGGAGUUCCUGCUGCUGUCGCUGGCCAAGCUCUCCACCAGGUUCACCACGCAGCCGAGUCAGGAUAAAAUCCGCGUGAUCAUAGACACGUUCGGCUCUCACAUACACAUCGAACUGCAACAGAGAGGUGUCGAGUUGUCACAGCUGUUCAGGCAGUACGCGUCGCUGCGGCCGGCGCUGCUGGAGCGCAUGCCGGCGAUGGAGGCGGGCGCGCCGCCCGAGCGGGACGACAGCGACGCGGAGCCCGAGCCGGCGCUCGCCGCGCCGCCGCCCGACCAGGACGCCCUAUUGGAUCUCAUCAUCGGCUCGGAGCCGCUGUCCAAUGGUGACGUGGAACACGCAGCGCCCGCCGCCAACAACAACACUACUACCAAUGACAUUCUCGAUCUACUGAGCGGUCUCGACCUGAGCGCGACUAGCACUAUGCCCGCGAGCGCGCCCGUGAGCGGAGUAAGCGCAAUGAGCGGUGUCAGCGGCGUGAGCAGCCUCAAUAACAAUAUGGCGCCCUCUUUGCUAGAUGGACUGUUUGCCUCGCCAUCUGCUGUCACUAAUGCUGCGCCCUCGGAGACGAUAGUAACGGCGCUGGAGCGCAACGGCCUCCGCGUGGAGCUGCACGUGCGGCGCGGCGGCGAGACGGCCGCGAUCACGAUGCGCGCGCACUCCACCGCGCCCGCCGCCAUCACGGACUUCCUCUUCCAGGCCGCUGUGCCGAGGACAUUCCGACUGGACAUGAUGUCGCCGUCGGGCAGCGUGCUGACGCCGCAGGGCGAGAUCACGCAACUGCUCAAGGUCACCAACCCCUCCAAGACUCCACUCCGUCUCCGGAUAAGGGUGUCGUACACGAUCGACGGCAACCCGGUCCUGGAGCAGGCGGAGGUGAACAACUUCCCCCCGGACCUGUUCAACUGACGCGCGGCCCUCUGUCUCUAGCGGCCCGCGGAGCAAGGCCCACGGGACACAUGACCCACGGGACAUACGACCCGUGGGUCAUGGGCCACACGGAUAGAGUCACACUCGGCCUACGAAACUUGGCCCGUGCGCCCCGUGGACCAUGAGACACUCGGCCCAUGAGACAAGUGGCCCACGGGACACAUGCACCCACGAUAGAAGGCAUACGAUAAUUAUUACCGGUUUGGAGGGAUGCACGGACAAACAGACAGUGUUAGAUAUUUUUGUGAUUAUUGUUAUAUAUUAUUCUGGUGUUGAAAAUUAGAAAUGGAAGGGAAAUUGAGUCAAAACUCAAAAUAUUUAAAGAAGGUUAGUCAUUGUAUUUAAUUGAUAAAUACAAGAUGUUGAAACACCAAUUCUCUUUAUUGUAAUCAUUGUUAAUACCCCAAAAUUAUGGCUACAUAUGACUGAAUAAUAUAUCAUUCACAAAAUUAUCUUACGCCCAAUGUAUAGUGAUGCCUAACUGUAUAAUUGGUAGAUGUUAGUCGCUAUGUGGUAUGGCUGCUUUAUAUAUUGUCAUUUUAAGUUUAUUAACAAAGCACCUAACAUAUAAUAACAUAAAUUAAAAGAAAAAUAAAUAACAAUUUCAAAACAUUUUAUAUAACCUAUAUUUUAACUUCUGAGUCCAAAUGUUCGUAAGAAAUUCGAAUUCUUUGAUGAUUCAGAAACGGCUAAAUAAAUAUAUUGUCUAUUUUUUAUGUGGAAAUUAUGUUCAUAAUUUAUCUAUGCUAAAUGUAUAUUAUAGCAGCCAUACAAACAAACACGCUGUACAAAUAGCGGUUGGCCAUAUUGGCUUGUGGGUCGUUCCUUAAGCUGCAAUUUGAGAAAUUAGACACAACCGUAUGUAAUAUAGUGGUGAAAGAUAGUUAUCGGUAAUAACGUCACACUUUAAAUAAUACUAACGUAACAAUCCCUUAUAAAUUCUCAUUUAAAUAUGGUAUCCCACUUCCAUCUUUUUUCUACGAGAUUUAAUGGGAAUUUUUCAUAUAUUUUCACUUAUUUAUAUUAUUAAUUUCUUUGUGAAUAUCUUAUUGCUACUAAUGCUCGCUAAAAGAUUGUUAAAUAGUAAAUAUGACAAAUAAUUUUUAUAAACAUGCAGUGAUAUACAACAAAUUUACUGCUUUUCUAUAUAAAUACUAUAAUGAAAAGAUUUUUUUUGAAUUUUCGUUUCUAAUAAUUGCGCUUAUAAUAAAACUGGAACCCAUUAUUUAUUCCGAAGUUUCGACUAUUUAAUGUGUGACGUCGUUUAUAGAUGACCUAAGGCCUGAAAACACAUAGAUAUUUUUCUAGGUUAACACUUAAAUUCUAAGUUUAUGUGUUUUUCAGGCCGUACUUAGAGAUUCGUUUAACAUUCCACUUUAGAUAAAUACUAAAAGACUUAUUCAUUCGUGUGACUGGGGCCCAUUGUGCGGACGUGGUCUUUCUAUUAAUUCCUCAAACAACAAUAUAAUAUUAUUUUUUAUAAAUUUUUCAUACAACUGACUUUAAAUUUGAAUGUAAAUGGUUCUUAAAUUUUUGUUCGCAAUCGCGAGUAUGAUAAAUUAUGACUUUUAAAAUCGUCAUCAUUCUUAUUGCUAAAUAUAGUUGAAAACAGAAGGAUUAUUUAUGAAAAACAUUAUGGGAUUCAAUUGUCAGUAUUAUUCAAAUCUCAUACAACUUACCGCAAAAAAUAUAUGCAGGAGCUGCAAAAUGAAAAUUAUCUUCGUUCAAAUGGUACAGGACUGGCAUUUUUAUGUUUGCUUUAAUUUCCAUAAAAUUUACUUACCGCAACGUAAAUAAAUGUAUAACGAAAAUGGAUUAAAAAAAGAUUUUUUAAUCCAUUCGGUUUUUGGUUGGUAACCUUUAGGUAAAGAUUUAUUUCAACAUGGGCUAAAACAUCUGUUAUGUAUAUAGGGAAGAUGUGUAUAAUAAGAUGUAUAGUAAGGCAGGAUUGAUUGUAUGUGAAUUGUACUUAAUAUCAUAUUUUAUUUAAGAUUUCUAACAUCAUUAAAAAUUACGUGCCCUAAACUAAUGUAGUAAAUAUGAAAUAUUUAAUUUAUCUUAUAGUAUUUCUCAAAUUUGAUUUAUGCAUUUUAUGAUAUUCAUUUAAUUAGUCAUUAUUUUAAUUUUAAUGCUUGACCAUAUUUGAGGGUUGUAGAAUCACUUCCAAUCAUCCUCUAUCGAUUACAAUAGAUUUUUAAAUUGUCAGUAUAGUUUUACAAAAUGUUUUAUCUGCUGUCAAUUCUAUUAUUGAAAUAGUACUGUUCCUUUAAAAGAAAGUUUUUUAUUCAGCGACAAUGUAAAUAGAUAAUGCAUAUAUGUAAGAGUAUAGUUAGAGACCGUUAACGCUACCCUGAGCCCAUCUUUCAUGUUUUGGGACAUAACGUAAGUGCUUAUUAUUUUGUUAUUUAUGUUAGCCACUAACCAGCACAUUAUAUUGAGAUAUUUAUAUAAAAUAAACACGUGUUCGCACGACAGUUUUAUUUUUUAGUUACAUUUAUUUUUCCAUUAUAAAGAGAGCUUCGCAAAAGAUACAUAAUAUAUCGCAAUUUGGUGCUUCAUUUUAUCUAAGUAUCUAACUAGAAGGCCCUCCACGAUGUGAGAUGAUUUAGCGCUAUGUGAGAGAUGUACAUAAUAAUGAUUUUAUGUAAAUUGGUUAAUAAAUAUUUGAGAAUGUUUAUAUAAUCA
RNAcentral lists this unclassified non-coding RNA (5403 nucleotides) under Zerene cesonia (dogface butterfly). Its description in RNAcentral is "aP-1 complex subunit gamma-1, transcript variant X1". The record is from RNAcentral. Lineage: Eukaryota; Metazoa; Arthropoda; Insecta; Lepidoptera; Pieridae.